MicroRNA precursor from Gossypium arboreum, 122 nucleotides. It matches the Rfam family "MIR7504 microRNA precursor family". Lineage: Eukaryota; Viridiplantae; Streptophyta; Magnoliopsida; Malvales; Malvaceae. The record is from Rfam.
AAUAAGAGAAUGACAAAUUAGAUUUUUCGUUCUAAUUUUUAGUAUUUUCCUCCUAAAAAAUUCAAUUCCAAUUAAAAAUGCUAAAAAUCAGAAUAAAAAAAUUGAUUUGUCAUUCUCCUAUU